GACGAACGCUGGCGGCGUGCCUAAUACAUGCAAGUCGAGCGAAGUUUUUCUGGUGCUUGCACCGGAAAAACUUAGCGGCGAACGGGUGAGUAACACGUAAAGAACCUGCCUCAUAGACUGGGACAACUAUUGGAAACGAUAGCUAAUACCGGAUAAUAGCAUUAACUGCAUGGUUGAUGUUUAAAAGUUGGUUUUGCUAACACUAUGAGAUGGCUUUGCGGUGCAUUAGCUAGUUGGUGGGGUAAAGGCCUACCAAGGCGACGAUGCAUAGCCGACCUGGGAGGGUGAUCGGCCACACUGGGACUGAGACACGGCCCAGACUCCUACGGGAGGCAGCAGUAGGGAAUCUUCCGCAAUGGGCGAAAGCCUGACGGAGCAACGCCGCGUGAGUGAAGAAGGAUUUCGGUUCGUAAAGCUCUGUUGUUAGGGAAGAAUGAUUGUGUAGUAACUAUACACAGUAGAGACGGUACCUAACCAGAAAGCCACGGCUAACUACGUG
RNAcentral lists this ribosomal RNA (499 nucleotides) under uncultured bacterium. Its description in RNAcentral is "partial 16S ribosomal RNA". It matches the Rfam family "Bacterial small subunit ribosomal RNA", at positions 28 to 507 of the family's 1533-position model. The record is from RNAcentral.